RNAcentral lists this ribosomal RNA (2560 nucleotides) under Fusarium oxysporum f. sp. gladioli. RNAcentral describes it as "bacterial LSU rRNA". The stretch from base 1 to 2130 matches the Rfam family "Bacterial large subunit ribosomal RNA". Lineage: Eukaryota; Fungi; Ascomycota; Sordariomycetes; Hypocreales; Nectriaceae. The record is from RNAcentral.
CCAAUGCUUCUAAUUUCAUAGCAAGCUCGCUUGCUAUGAAAUAGGCAACCAGUAAUAUAAGCAAGUGUGUGCUAUUUAUAGCGCUAGCCUACAAACCUAUAAUUAUAUUAACUCUAAGAGAAAUUUAAUAAUAAACGAAGUGAAUUGAAAUAUCUUAGUAACUUUAGGAAAAGAAAUCAAAAGAGAUUCUAUGAUUAGCGUGAGCUAAAAUAGACUAGCCUAAAAAGUCAAAUGGUGGAUAAACUGUUUAAAUUAAAUGGGGAACCUUCCUCAAAGGCUAAAUAUAAUGUAUAAGCGAUAGUGGAAAGUACCGUGAGGGAACCAAAACAAAAACAGUGAUUUUAUAAGCAGUUCGGAAAAAUAAAAAAAAGUUAGAACGUACCUUUUGCAUAAUGGGUCACCAAGUUAACAUUAGAUGCGAGUAGGAGGCUUUGCCCAUAUAUACGUAGUUAAACCGAGCGUUAAAAUAACGGUAAGUAUCUAAAGUUAGACCCGAAGCCUGGUGAUUUUACCAUAAUCAGGAUUAUAAAAGUCCGAACGGAAUAUUGUAGCAUAAAUAUCCGAAGAAUUAUGGUAGGUGUAGUGAAAGACAAUACUGACCAGGAUAGCUGGUUUUCUGCGAAACCUAUAACAGUAGGCAAUUUAAGUAUAAUAUCUUAGCAGGUACAGAAUUUAAUCUCAGACAAGACAUAAGGCUUAGCUUGCUAGCAAGUAAAGCUCAUGUUUUAUUUUGUACAAAUUGGGGGAUCAUGAAGAUUUUAUCAGUGAGUAUGUAGACUCGGAAUGGCAAAGAUAUAUCUUAAAUCAUCAGACAUAGAAUGAUAAGGUUGUAUGUCAAAAGGGAAACAGCCCAGAACAAGAGUUAAGGUUCCUAAAUUAUUAGUUGAGUGAAAUUAAGAAGGUUUUUAUUAAAGUCGACAAGGAGAUAGGCUUAGAAGCAGCCAUAAUUUUAUGACCUCGUAACAGAGCGCUUGUUAAGUUUUAAAAGCAUCGAAAAUUUAUCGGAUCUAAACAAUAUACCGAAACCUUGUCCAUAUUAUUUUAUAAUUAAAGCUUAAUUAUAAUUAAAUGGGGUAGCAGAACGUUGAGCUAAAUUAAGAUUUUUAUUUUUUAAAUGAAAUUAUAAUAAUUUAACUCAAGUGAUAAUGGUGACAUGAGUAACUAAAAGAAAAAAUAAAAUUUUUCCGCCUAAAGCUUAUGGAUGUAAUUAAGUAACGGCCUCUAAGUUUAUAUUAUCUAAAGAUUUAAACGAUGAGAUAAUCUUUUGUACUAAGGACGACAUUUUAAGUGAAAAAUGUACUGGAAAAAUAGUACUAAAUUAAUGGGUAUAGCUAAUUAGUUAGCUAUAGCUAUAAAUGAAAAGUAACCGUACCUAGAAUCUGAAACAAGUAAGCUAGUAGAGAAUACGAAGGCGUAAAUGAGCUAACAAUCAUAAAGGAACUCGGCAAAUUGACUACCGUAACUUCGGGAUAAGGAGAGCUCAUUAUUCUUGAUUAAUAUCAGGUAAAGAGGAAGAAGCAUGAAAUAGUGUUGUACGACUGUUUAAUUAAAACACAGCACUUUGCUGAAAGAUUAAAAAUCUAAGUAUAGAGUGUGAUGUCUGCCCGGUGCCGGCUGGUUAACAGAUAUAAUUAAAUAUACUAAUAUUUGAUGUAGACGGAAACCCCGGUUAAAGGCGGCCUUAACGUGAGGGUCCUAAGGUAGCGAAAUGCCUUGGCCGUUAAAUGCGGUCUUGCAUGAAUGAUGUAACGAUACAACAGCUGUCUCUAUGAUUGACUCAGUGAAAUUGGAAUAGCUGUGCAGAUACAGUUUACCUCUAGUUAGACGAGAAGACCCUAUGCAGCUUUACUGUCACUAAUUAUAGAGUAUGAUAAACAAUUUUCAGAUUAUAAGGUAAUUGACGGCUAGCUUGUUCAGCAAGCUAGCUCUAUGACAAUGAGAAUCCUUUAUUUUUUUUUCAUAUGAAUGAAUUGGUUUAGGAUUAUGAGUAGGUAGCGGCUUCUGCUACUUGGCGUAAGCAUUGCUUGCGUCAGGUGUCUGAAGUAUGCAUUCCAGCUCAUGCAUAGUAAAUCAACCUAAUUCAGCUUAUUUUCCUUUCUGCCAUAAGCGCAUAAUGAUAGAUUUAACUUAAAUUUUGAUUUAUGCCAGCUGCAGAAAUAGAUAAGUACCCUUGGCUAAGGAACUAUCGCUAGGGGACAGUUUAUGUGGGGCACAGACCCUGUAAAGAGUAAACAGGAGUGUCUAAUAAUUUAUAAUUAUUUUGUUUGCGAUUUAAGAUAGUGAAACUAUUUUUAAUCAUAUAAAAUUAUUUAUAUGUACAUUCGUUGUAUAUAUAUUUAAAAAAAGGUAGGAUUUUCACUAUAUAGAAAUUAGAGAUAAUAAAAAUAUUAAGAAUAUACGUUUCAGGCUGGGAGGGGGAAGCUCCUCCCUUUGAAAGGUAGCACUAAUAUUUUUUAGCUAUUAAGACAGGCUAUCAAGCUAGGCUCUAAUAGUUAUGUAUUAAUUAUCUAAAAAGCUCAACGGCUAAAUCUUGCCUUACUGUUUGAUUAUCAACAAAUCU